Biomphalaria glabrata is the source of this 497-nucleotide long non-coding RNA. RefSeq lists it as uncharacterized. NCBI's taxonomy places the organism in Eukaryota, Metazoa, Mollusca, Gastropoda, Planorbidae. The record is from RefSeq and is a predicted model, not a curated record. The transcript is spliced from 2 exons.
AAAUAGACAUGGCUGGAUACGUUAUUGAUAGCAAUUCAGAUGAUAAAUUUAUCUAAAUCUAGCUGUCCAACAAUUUUGAAUGAUUCUUAUCAUGGGAUGCACCAAAAUGCCAUGAAGAGAACUCUUCUACUUUUUCAAAAUAUAUUCUAGAGCAGACUAUUGAAUUAAUAUAAUUAUAGAUAGAUUAUAAUAAUAGGACUAGUCACUAGAUUAUGUCUAUGAUUAUCACUAGCACUAGAUCUACUACUCAGAUCUAGACUCUAGAGUGACUCUAGACCUAGUCUACUCUAGUAGUAGUCUCUAGUAUCAUCAAGUACUAGUAGAUCAUCUAGGACUAGGUCUAGAAAACAUAUAUGACAUGUGGCAUACAGACAAGUUUACUAGAUGGAUCUUUCAUCAUUUUGGAAAUACAAUAUUCCCUGUGAAACAAAUCACAGAAACAUUCUACAAUUUUAUUUUAUAUAAUAAAUACCAAUAAAUGUAAAUACAAAAUCACA